Molecule: ribosomal RNA, 497 nt
Filed under: uncultured bacterium
Lineage: Bacteria
Description: bacterial SSU rRNA
Rfam family: Bacterial small subunit ribosomal RNA
Source: RNAcentral
UGAACGCUAGCGACAGGCCUAACACAUGCAAGUCGAGGGGCGAGCACAAGGAGCAAUCUGAGGUGGCGACCGGCGCACGGGUGAGUAACACGUAUGCAACCUGCCUGUAAGCGGGGAAUAAACCCGUUGAAAGACGGACUAAUACCGCAUAAUACUAAAUUACUGCAUGGUAAUUUAUUUAAACAUUUAUGGCUUACAGAUGGGCAUGCGCAUGAUUAGCUAGUUGAAGAGGUAACGGCUCCCCAAGGCAACGAUCAUUAGGGGUUCUGAGAGGAAGGUCCCCCACACUGGUACUGAGACACGGACCAGACUCCUACGGGAGGCAGCAGUGAGGAAUAUUGGUCAAUGGACGAGAGUCUGAACCAGCCAAGUCGCGUGCAGGAAGAAUGUUCCCUAUGGAUUGCAAACUGCUUUUGCAGGGGAAUAAAGUGCAUCACGUGUGAUGUUUUGUAUGUACUCUGCGAAUAAGGAUCGGCUAACUCCGUGCCAGCCGCUGC